AUAGGAUAUAUAGGUAUAAUAGUAUAAUAGGAUAUAUUAAAGGUAUAAUAGGAUAUAUAGGUAUAAGAAGUAUAAUAGGAUAUAUAGGUAUAAGAAGUAUAAUAGGAUAUUAAUAAAGUAUAAUAGGAUAUAUAGGCAUUAGUAAGAAAGGAUGAAGUGGGGCAAUCUAUCCUAAAAUAUCCGUUUAACAAACAGCUGAUUUGUGGGGUCCGACAGUUUGUGAGGACCCUGAGGGAGAGCUGUUCUCUCUUUUCUCACAAUAUAACGAGUCGCACACACAGUCAUGCCAGGAGACAAUUUCCUCUCGCUCCAGGUGUGAAGAAAAACACUGAAGCAAAAAAAAAAAACUUUCCUGACACCCAGAAAAAAAAGAAAAAUGGGACGAGGUCUGGGAUCCAGACUCCGAUGGCCCAGUCCGUCCACGUUAACGUAAAACAGCGACUUGUAGGAAAUAAAAGCAAUAUAAAAACUUUACACACGGGGACUUUCUCUCUCCAAGAGAAGGAAAAGGGGUGUACAAAAAGGCUCAUUUUACACUCCAAUAUUUCAGAAAGGAAUCACGGACAUGUUUGCUUGCAGCCUGGAGCAUUUUGUCUUGUACUUCAUGCAGAAAUGUAAAACCAUAGGAUUCUGGGACGGUUACAUAACGGCGACCUCAUCCUUUUUGGAAAGCUGGGGA
Ictalurus punctatus (channel catfish) is the source of this 679-nucleotide long non-coding RNA. The record is from Ensembl. NCBI's taxonomy places the organism in Eukaryota, Metazoa, Chordata, Actinopteri, Siluriformes, Ictaluridae.